GACGAACGCUGGCGGCGUGCUUAACACAUGCAAGUCGAACGGAAAGGCCCUGCUUUUGUGGGGUGCUCGAGUGGCGAACGGGUGAGUAACACGUGAGUAACCUGCCCUUGACUUUGGGAUAACUUCAGGAAACUGGGGCUAAUACCGGAUAGGAGCUCCUGCUGCAUGGUGGGGGUUGGAAAGUUUCGGCGGUUGGGGAUGGACUCGCGGCUUAUCAGCUUGUUGGUGGGGUAGUGGCUUACCAAGGCUUUGACGGGUAGCCGGCCUGAGAGGGUGACCGGCCACAUUGGGACUGAGAUACGGCCCAGACUCCUACGGGAGGCAGCAGUGGGGAAUAUUGCACAAUGGGCGGAAGCCUGAUGCAGCAACGCCGGGUGCGGGAUGACGGCCUUCGGGUUGUAAACCGCUUUCGCCUGUGACGAAGCGUGAGUGACGGUAAUGGGUAAAGAAGCACCGGCUAACUACGU
This 467-nucleotide ribosomal RNA is filed under the name uncultured bacterium. RNAcentral describes it as "partial 16S ribosomal RNA". It matches the Rfam family "Bacterial small subunit ribosomal RNA", at positions 28 to 506 of the family's 1533-position model. The record is from RNAcentral.